This 3068-nucleotide long non-coding RNA is filed under the name Homo sapiens (human). Its description in RNAcentral is "HSALNT0326343". Lineage: Eukaryota; Metazoa; Chordata; Mammalia; Primates; Hominidae. The record is from RNAcentral.
GACAGAGCCGGACCCCGUAUCAAGAAAGAAAGAGAAAAGAAAAAGAACCAAAGAAAAAGAAAAGUCACCAUCGCACGGUUAAGUCUGCCUUGCUACAGCUAAACAGUGACUUCCUAGGACCAAGAAAUCGCAGCCAGGGCUAGACCGAUGCCCUAAAUCGGGACUUGCUUAGGCUGAGAAAUCACAUUUUGGCUAGUUAUUUGGACAAGAGGUAGAAAUAGCGGGCACCGCGAAAUCGAAACUUGCUAGGACCAAGAAGCCAACGACGGGCGAAACCGCAGGGGCCUGCGAUAGAGACGCCAGCGGCGCCGCCGGGGGACUGGGUUCAGGAGGCCGAGCAGGAACCCGUGCGUCGGCGCUCGCGGCGCUGUGAAGAGACGGCGUCCGCGCAGCUCCUCUGCCUCUGGCUCGGAGGAGCGGCGGGCUCCCCCGCCCAGCGCCGGCGUCGCCCGGGAACCCCAGACUCUGCGCAACUGGCUGCGAUUCCAAAUCCCUCAGAUCGGCUACCAGAGCGCUGCCGCCACCGAGAAAAUGGAGGCACCGAGGAACAAGAUGUGCCGCGACCAAGAGAACUCGGCUUGGCGAAAUGGCGGUGCUGGGACCCUAAGAGUGACGCCAGCCGGAGGAGUUCCCAAGGACAACAUCCAUUUUGGCGGAACCAACGGUGUUGUCACGCAGAAAAUGUCGACCCUCGGAAAAGAGAGGUUCUGCGACCGAGAAAUUCGGUGCAACAAGUGCUGUGACAGAAAACCCCCCGCUCGGCGCUGCUGGCGAAAGAGCCAACAAAACGCUGGGUGCUGCCACCGUGACACCGACUUUAGGACCCCGGCCUCGGAUGGAGAAAGGAGGGUACGGAGCCACCACAUAACUUCCUAAUGUCUUCAAAUAGCGAAAGUGCUAGCCGGAAACUGCCGGCUGGGUUUACCUAUUGGUGCUCGUGUGGGACUAGCAGAUUCGAGAAACCAGCGGGACUGGAACCUAGUACACUUCGGCAGUUGAGAAAUGACUUACCAGGACAAAUACUGCUUCUGGCUCGAUGGUGCUGCCCAUGAACAUCCGCCGGCUCUGAGAAACGAGCUGCACUGUCAGUGAGAAACCGUGGGCACUGAGAAACGAGCGGACUGCAACUGAUAACUGCCCACCCAGUGCCACUACGACAAAGUGCUGCUGGCACUACUCCCACCCUCCGUCCUCAAAUCAGUCCCCUCCCGCCUAAGAAGACCUUUAUUUUUCCUAGCGAAGUCAUACUGAGGGCCCCAUCAACCGAUCCCUUGCGAUGCGCAUGGGAAAAGGAGGCAGUAUAGGGACCGAGAAUCGGGCGGAUUGGGCUGGCCCUGGUAACAAAAGCCAUCCGGGUCGCCAACCGUCUUCCACUGCAAGAAACAAACCUUCCAGUGGCUGGGCUCCGCCCUUCUCCUUGGUCAGAGCCCUCCAGGCUCCUAAGGGCGAAGCCGACACCUCAUCCCUUUGGAACUUGAAGUUCUCAGUCCAAGACCUCCGUGGAGAGUGAAAGACUCAAUGCCUCCUGACCGAGGCUUCAGGCCUGCCCCGGCAGCUAGGUACCUCUCCAGGGGAUGGAACUCUGUGGGAACUGCUAUUUAAUUCUGAUGGUUAACUCUGUCAGAUGGCCUUGAUAUAUGGGAAUAAUCGUUGCAGGAGGGUAGGGGAAAUAAGAAUCGCAAGACUCUAGCACAGGACGUGUGGAUUGAUGGAAACCUGAAACUGCCAUUGAGCAGAAGGAAAACAUCCCUUUCCAGAACCUUUCUCGUUUUUCUAAAAAUCUGCACUUUUGGAAGUGAUCCCCCAAAGAGACCUCCAGACUCUACCAUGAGUGUCUCCAGCUGAACUCAUCGUGUCUAAUCCUCACCCUAGCUUAUCCUGUUCAAAUCAUUUCCAUCUUUUUCUGGAUGAACCUGGGCGGAUGUCAGACCAGAGAAGAGCACAGAAUGUACCAGAGAGGACAACAACUCGGGAUCCACCUAACACGGGUACAAAGAAGGCUGUAACACGGGAAGCAGCUGUUGGGCCAAACCAGCCCUGGAGCUGUAGGCCAGAGCAAGACCACAGGACUGACAGAGCUGUUAACACGCUGACAUCUUUCGGGCUGCAGAGGGCGGGACUGAAAGAGCUAUUAGCAUGUUGUAACACCCACUCUGGGGCUUUGGGGUCACGGGCAUCCCUGUUUGGGUGCCAUCACAUUCCCCUCAUCUGGAUGCCAGAGUCCACCAUAGGAGUCACUUGCAACAUGCCUGGUCCAGCCACAAGUCCCACACAGAGCCUGCUCCUGUGCUGGUGCUUGGAGCUACCAGUGGAACCCCACACUCACUAGCUCACACACCCCUCCUGCCAGGGGCUGAGUGCACAGUCAUGGUGGCCACAGGAUCUGCACCAGAGGACAUGCCAGGCACAGCCCAGCAAACCGAGUAGAUGGGGCAUCUCCUGUGGUUAGCCUGGGCUCCAGCAAGGCCUAGGUAGGGCAUCGCCAGCCAGAGGUCUCUGGCUGGCAAAGUUGCUGAGAAACAUCCUAUGUCAUUAAGGAGAUGGGGAGGGGCAGAGGGGCACUUAUGGAAAUAUGAAUGAUUUUUUUUUUUGAGACAGAGUCUCUCUCUGUCGCCCAGGCUGGAAUGCAGUGGCGUGAUCUUGGCUCACUGCAAGCUCUGCCUCCGGGGUUCAUGCCAUUCUCCUGCCUCAGCCUCCCGAGUAGCUGGGACUACAGGUGCCCGCAACCACACCCAGCUAAUUUUUUGUAUUUUCAAUAGAGACAGGGUUUCACUGUGUUAGCCAGGAUGGUCUCGAUCUCCUGAACUCGUGAUCCAUCCUCCUCAGCCUCCCAAGGUGCUGGCAUUACUGGCAUGAGCCACUGCACCAGCCACAAAUGAUAUUUUAGAAGAUAAAUGGUCCUUUAGAAGAAUAGAUAAAAGAUAUGACAGUUUUUAGAGAAUGUCUUUUUUUGGGUAGGGUGGGUGUAAUCACCCAAUGGUUUCAUCUUGCCCAUUGUCCACAAAGGCCAAUGCACUGAGAACAGCAGCUUUUUUGCAGCAAAGAAAGACUUCAAUAAUUGCAGGGCU